RNAcentral lists this ribosomal RNA (462 nucleotides) under uncultured bacterium. RNAcentral's name for it is "partial 16S ribosomal RNA". It matches the Rfam family "Bacterial small subunit ribosomal RNA", at positions 28 to 507 of the family's 1533-position model. The record is from RNAcentral.
GACGAACGCUGGCGGCGUGCUUAACACAUGCAAGUCGAGCGGAAAGGCCCUUCGGGGUACUCGAGCGGCGAACGGGUGAGUAACACGUGAGUAACCUGCCCCAGACUUUGGGAUAACCCUCGGAAACGGGGGCUAAUACCGGAUACGACACAGCUUCGCAUGGGGUCUGUGUGGAAAGUUUUUCGGUUUGGGAUGGGCUCGCGGCCUAUCAGCUUGUUGGUGGGGUGAUGGCCUACCAAGGCGACGACGGGUAGCCGGCCUGAGAGGGCGACCGGCCACACUGGGACUGAGACACGGCCCAGACUCCUACGGGAGGCAGCAGUGGGGAAUAUUGCACAAUGGGCGGAAGCCUGAUGCAGCGACGCCGCGUGAGGGAAGACGGCCUUCGGGUUGUAAACCUCUUUCAGCAGGGACGAAGCGUAAGUGACGGUACCUGCAGAAGAAGCGCCGGCCAACUACGUG